GAUGAACGCUGGCGGCGUGCCUAAUACAUGCAAGUCGAGCGAACAGACGAGGAGCUUGCUCCUCUGACGUUAGCGGCGGACGGGUGAGUAACACGUGGAUAACCUACCUAUAAGGCUGGGAUAACUUCGGGAAACCGGAGCUAAUACCGGAUAAUAUAUUGAACCGCACGGUUCAAUAGUGAAAGACGGUUUUGCUGUCACUUAUAGAUGGAUCCGCGCCGCAUUAGCUAGUUGGUAAGGUAACGGCUUACCAAGGCAACGAUGCGUAGCCGACCUGAGAGGGUGAUCGGCCACACUGGAACUGAGACACGGUCCAGACUCCUACGGGAGGCAGCAGUAGGGAAUCUUCCGCAAUGGGCGAAAGCCUGACGGAGCAACGCCGCGUGAGUGAUGAAGGUCUUCGGAUCGUAAAACUCUGUUAUUAGGGAAGAACAAAUGUGUAAGUAACUAUGCACGUCUUGACGGUACCUAAUCAGAAAGCCACGGCUAACUACGUG
Molecule: ribosomal RNA, 497 nt
Filed under: uncultured bacterium
Lineage: Bacteria
Description: partial 16S ribosomal RNA
Rfam family: Bacterial small subunit ribosomal RNA
Source: RNAcentral